This 417-nucleotide ribosomal RNA is filed under the name Megacyclops viridis. RNAcentral's name for it is "partial 12S ribosomal RNA". The record is from RNAcentral. Lineage: Eukaryota; Metazoa; Arthropoda; Copepoda; Cyclopoida; Cyclopidae.
AUCUGAACCUAUUUAUAACAAGUUCGAAGUUUAUUUUCCUACUAUUAAAUCCUUUUUAGUAUUAAUUUUUUUAAAAUUUUUAUUAGCAUUUCAAUUAUAUCUAAAUUAAACUAAGUGAUAUUUGUGAAAAAUUUAAAUCUUAAUUUAUUUUUAAACAACCACACGCAAAUUAAAAUUUAGUAAAUAAAAUUGUGGAAUAUCAAUUUAUUAAUCAAAAUUCUCUAAAUAGAAUAAAUAGCUGCCAAACAAUUUAGGUUUGAGUUUAAUACCUAAAAAAAAUUCAUACCCGGCUUCUAUCCCGACUUUGUGAAUAUAUUUUCUUCUUAUAUUUUAAUAAAAUUAAUUUUUUAAUUCUUAUAACUGAAAAUAAAAAUUUUAUUUUUUUUUAUUAAAAAAUCUAGUUUUGCUUUAGAAGUA